GACGAACCGAGCGAACGUUGUUCGGAAUCACUGGGCUUAAAGGGCGCGUAGGCGGGCGGCUCAGUCUGUCGUGAAAUCCUCCGGCUCAACCGGAGAACUGCGGCGGAUACUGGUCGCCUCGAGGGAGGUAGGGGCGUGUGGAACUAUCGGUGGAGCGGUGAAAUGCGUUGAUAUCGAUAGGAACUCCGGUGGCGAAGGCGACACGCUGGCCCUCUUCUGACGCUGAGGCGCGAAAGCCAGGGGAGCAAACGGG
Molecule: ribosomal RNA, 253 nt
Filed under: uncultured bacterium
Lineage: Bacteria
Description: partial 16S ribosomal RNA
Rfam family: Bacterial small subunit ribosomal RNA
Source: RNAcentral